This 460-nucleotide ribosomal RNA is filed under the name uncultured bacterium. Its description in RNAcentral is "partial 16S ribosomal RNA". It matches the Rfam family "Bacterial small subunit ribosomal RNA", at positions 338 to 795 of the family's 1533-position model. The record is from RNAcentral.
CCUACGGGUGGCAGCAGUGAGGAAUAUUGGUCAAUGGACGAGAGUCUGAACCAGCCAAGUAGCGUGAAGGAUGACUGCCCUAUGGGUUGUAAACUUCUUUUAUAUGGGAAUAAAAUGUUCCACGUGUGGGAUUUUGUAUGUACCAUAUGAAUAAGGAUCGGCUAACUCCGUGCCAGCAGCCGCGGUAAUACGGAGGAUCCGAGCGUUAACCGGAUUUAUUGGGUUUAAAGGGAGCGUAGGUGGAUUGUUAAGUUAGUUGUGAAAGUUUGCGGCUCAACCGUAAAAUUGCAGUUGAAACUGGCAGUCGUGAGUACAGUAGAGGUGGGCGGAAUUCGUGGUGUAGCGGUGAAAUGCUUAGAUAUCACGAAGAACUCCGAUUGCGAAGGCAGCUCACUGGACUGCAACUGACACUGAGGCACGAAAGUGUGGGUAUCAAACAGGAUUAGAUACCCGAGUAGUC